Molecule: ribosomal RNA, 2907 nt
Filed under: Escherichia coli
Lineage: Bacteria; Pseudomonadati; Pseudomonadota; Gammaproteobacteria; Enterobacterales; Enterobacteriaceae
Description: 23S ribosomal RNA
Rfam family: Bacterial large subunit ribosomal RNA
Source: RNAcentral
GGUUAAGCGACUAAGCGUACACGGUGGAUGCCCUGGCAGUCAGAGGCGAUGAAGGACGUGCUAAUCUGCGAUAAGCGUCGGUAAGGUGAUAUGAACCGUUAUAACCGGCGAUUUCCGAAUGGGGAAACCCAGUGUGUUUCGACACACUAUCAUUAACUGAAUCCAUAGGUUAAUGAGGCGAACCGGGGGAACUGAAACAUCUAAGUACCCCGAGGAAAAGAAAUCAACCGAGAUUCCCCCAGUAGCGGCGAGCGAACGGGGAGCAGCCCAGAGCCUGAAUCAGUGUGUGUGUUAGUGGAAGCGUCUGGAAAGGCGCGCGAUACAGGGUGACAGCCCCGUACACAAAAAUGCACAUGCUGUGAGCUCGAUGAGUAGGGCGGGACACGUGGUAUCCUGUCUGAAUAUGGGGGGACCAUCCUCCAAGGCUAAAUACUCCUGACUGACCGAUAGUGAACCAGUACCGUGAGGGAAAGGCGAAAAGAACCCCGGCGAGGGGAGUGAAAAAGAACCUGAAACCGUGUACGUACAAGCAGUGGGAGCCUCUCUUUAUGGGGGGUGACUGCGUACCUUUUGUAUAAUGGGUCAGCGACUUAUAUUCUGUAGCAAGGUUAACCGAAUAGGGGAGCCGAAGGGAAACCGAGUCUUAACUGGGCGUUAAGUUGCAGGGUAUAGACCCGAAACCCGGUGAUCUAGCCAUGGGCAGGUUGAAGGUUGGGUAACACUAACUGGAGGACCGAACCGACUAAUGUUGAAAAAUUAGCGGAUGACUUGUGGCUGGGGGUGAAAGGCCAAUCAAACCGGGAGAUAGCUGGUUCUCCCCGAAAGCUAUUUAGGUAGCGCCUCGUGAAUUCAUCUCCGGGGGUAGAGCACUGUUUCGGCAAGGGGGUCAUCCCGACUUACCAACCCGAUGCAAACUGCGAAUACCGGAGAAUGUUAUCACGGGAGACACACGGCGGGUGCUAACGUCCGUCGUGAAGAGGGAAACAACCCAGACCGCCAGCUAAGGUCCCAAAGUCAUGGUUAAGUGGGAAACGAUGUGGGAAGGCCCAGACAGCCAGGAUGUUGGCUUAGAAGCAGCCAUCAUUUAAAGAAAGCGUAAUAGCUCACUGGUCGAGUCGGCCUGCGCGGAAGAUGUAACGGGGCUAAACCAUGCACCGAAGCUGCGGCAGCGACGCUUAUGCGUUGUUGGGUAGGGGAGCGUUCUGUAAGCCUGUGAAGGUGUGCUGUGAGGCAUGCUGGAGGUAUCAGAAGUGCGAAUGCUGACAUAAGUAACGAUAAAGCGGGUGAAAAGCCCGCUCGCCGGAAGACCAAGGGUUCCUGUCCAACGUUAAUCGGGGCAGGGUGAGUCGACCCCUAAGGCGAGGCCGAAAGGCGUAGUCGAUGGGAAACAGGUUAAUAUUCCUGUACUUGGUGUUACUGCGAAGGGGGGACGGAGAAGGCUAUGUUGGCCGGGCGACGGUUGUCCCGGUUUAAGCGUGUAGGCUGGUUUUCCAGGCAAAUCCGGAAAAUCAAGGCUGAGGCGUGAUGACGAGGCACUACGGUGCUGAAGCAACAAAUGCCCUGCUUCCAGGAAAAGCCUCUAAGCAUCAGGUAACAUCAAAUCGUACCCCAAACCGACACAGGUGGUCAGGUAGAGAAUACCAAGGCGCUUGAGAGAACUCGGGUGAAGGAACUAGGCAAAAUGGUGCCGUAACUUCGGGAGAAGGCACGCUGAUAUGUAGGUGAAGUCCCUCGCGGAUGGAGCUGAAAUCAGUCGAAGAUACCAGCUGGCUGCAACUGUUUAUUAAAAACACAGCACUGUGCAAACACGAAAGUGGACGUAUACGGUGUGACGCCUGCCCGGUGCCGGAAGGUUAAUUGAUGGGGUUAGCGCAAGCGAAGCUCUUGAUCGAAGCCCCGGUAAACGGCGGCCGUAACUAUAACGGUCCUAAGGUAGCGAAAUUCCUUGUCGGGUAAGUUCCGACCUGCACGAAUGGCGUAAUGAUGGCCAGGCUGUCUCCACCCGAGACUCAGUGAAAUUGAACUCGCUGUGAAGAUGCAGUGUACCCGCGGCAAGACGGAAAGACCCCGUGAACCUUUACUAUAGCUUGACACUGAACAUUGAGCCUUGAUGUGUAGGAUAGGUGGGAGGCUUUGAAGUGUGGACGCCAGUCUGCAUGGAGCCGACCUUGAAAUACCACCCUUUAAUGUUUGAUGUUCUAACGUGGACCCGUAAUCCGGGUUGCGGACAGUGUCUGGUGGGUAGUUUGACUGGGGCGGUCUCCUCCUAAAGAGUAACGGAGGAGCACGAAGGUUGGCUAAUCCUGGUCGGACAUCAGGAGGUUAGUGCAAUGGCAUAAGCCAGCUUGACUGCGAGCGUGACGGCGCGAGCAGGUGCGAAAGCAGGUCAUAGUGAUCCGGUGGUUCUGAAUGGAAGGGCCAUCGCUCAACGGAUAAAAGGUACUCCGGGGAUAACAGGCUGAUACCGCCCAAGAGUUCAUAUCGACGGCGGUGUUUGGCACCUCGAUGUCGGCUCAUCACAUCCUGGGGCUGAAGUAGGUCCCAAGGGUAUGGCUGUUCGCCAUUUAAAGUGGUACGCGAGCUGGGUUUAGAACGUCGUGAGACAGUUCGGUCCCUAUCUGCCGUGGGCGCUGGAGAACUGAGGGGGGCUGCUCCUAGUACGAGAGGACCGGAGUGGACGCAUCACUGGUGUUCGGGUUGUCAUGCCAAUGGCACUGCCCGGUAGCUAAAUGCGGAAGAGAUAAGUGCUGAAAGCAUCUAAGCACGAAACUUGCCCCGAGAUGAGUUCUCCCUGACUCCUUGAGAGUCCUGAAGGAACGUUGAAGACGACGACGUUGAUAGGCCGGGUGUGUAAGCGCAGCGAUGCGUUGAGCUAACCGGUACUAAUGAACCGUGAGGCUUAACCUU